RNAcentral lists this ribosomal RNA (613 nucleotides) under uncultured bacterium. RNAcentral's name for it is "bacterial SSU rRNA". It matches the Rfam family "Bacterial small subunit ribosomal RNA", at positions 233 to 863 of the family's 1533-position model. The record is from RNAcentral.
GCGCCUGAUUAGAUAGUUGGCGGGGUAAUGGCCCACCAAGUCUACGAUCAGUAGCCGGACUGAGAGGUCGAACGGCCACAUUGGGACUGAGAUACGGCCCAGACUCCUACGGGAGGCAGCAGUGGGGGAUAUUGCACAAUGGGCGAAAGCCUGAUGCAGCGACGCCGCGUGAGGGAAGACGGUUUUCGGAUUGUAAACCUCUGUCUUCGGGGACGAAACAAGACGGUACCCGAGGAGGAAGCCACGGCUAACUACGUGCCAGCAGCCGCGGUAAUACGUAGGUGGCGAGCGUUGUCCGGAAUUACUGGGUGUAAAGGGAGUGUAGGCGGGGCUUCAAGUCCGUUGUGAAACCGAUCGGCUCAACUGAUCGUUGCGGCGGAAACUGGAGCUCUUGAGUGAGGUAGAGGCAGGCGGAAUUCCCAGUGUAGCGGUGAAAUGCGUAGAUAUUGGGAGGAACACCAGUGGCGAAGGCGGCUCUCUGGGCCUUAACUGACGCUGAGGCUCGAAAGUGUGGGGAGCAAACAGGAUUAGAUACCCUGGUAGUCCACACUGUAAACGAUGAUUACUAGGUGUGGGGGGACUGACCCCUUCCGUGCCGGAGUGAACACAAUAA